Molecule: transfer RNA, 79 nt
Filed under: compost metagenome
Description: tRNA-Ala
Source: RNAcentral
UGGCCGGGUAGGCCGAGUAGUCCGCCUGCAUGGCGGGCAGGUAGAUCUUGUCGCCGACGAUCGCCGCGCUGCCGGCCGG